This 492-nucleotide ribosomal RNA is filed under the name uncultured bacterium. RNAcentral's name for it is "partial 16S ribosomal RNA". It matches the Rfam family "Bacterial small subunit ribosomal RNA", at positions 29 to 507 of the family's 1533-position model. The record is from RNAcentral.
AGUGAACGCUGGCGGUAGGCCUAACACAUGCAGGUCGAACGGCAGCACAGUAAGAGCUUGCUCUUACGGGUGGCGAGUGGCGGACGAGUGAGGAAUACAUCGGAAUCUACUUUUUCGUGGGGGAUAACGUAGGGAAACUUACGCUAAUACCGCAUACGACCUACGGGUGAAAGCAGGGGAUCUUCGGACCUUGCGCGAUUGAAUGAGCCGAUGUCGGAUUAGCUAGUUGGCGGGGUAAAGGCCCACCAAGGCGACGAUCCGUAGCUGGUCUGAGAGGAUGAUCAGCCACACUGGAACUGAGACACGGUCCAGACUCCUACGGGAGGCAGCAGUGGGGAAUAUUGGACAAUGGGCGCAAGCCUGAUCCAGCCAUACCGCGUGGGUGAAGAAGGCCUUCGGGUUGUAAAGCCCUUUUGUUGGGAAAGAAAAGCAGCAGGUUAAUACCCCGCUGUUCUGACGGUACCCAAAGAAUAAGCACCGGCUAACUUCGUG